RNAcentral lists this ribosomal RNA (253 nucleotides) under uncultured bacterium. RNAcentral's name for it is "partial 16S ribosomal RNA". It matches the Rfam family "Bacterial small subunit ribosomal RNA", at positions 524 to 776 of the family's 1533-position model. The record is from RNAcentral.
UACAGAGGUCUCAAGCGUUGUUCGGAUUCAUUGGGCGUAAAGGGUGUGUAGGUGGCGCGCUAAGUCGGGUGUGAAAUUUCGGAGCUUAACUCUGAAACUGCAUUCGAUACUGGCGUGCUUGAGGACUGGAGAGGAGACUGGAAUUCAUGGUGUAGCAGUGAAAUGCGUAGAGAUCAAGAGGAAGACCAGUGGCGAAGGCGGGUCUCUGGACAGUUCCUGACACUGAGACACGAAGGCCAGGGGAGCAAACGGG